Molecule: long non-coding RNA, 1222 nt
Filed under: Linum usitatissimum (flax)
Lineage: Eukaryota; Viridiplantae; Streptophyta; Magnoliopsida; Malpighiales; Linaceae
Description: long non-coding RNA (LUSI_LNC008176)
Source: RNAcentral
ACAAUUAUCACAAAAAGUUUCAACCUUUUUUUAUACAAUGUUUGAUAACUAAUUAAACCAAUGAUGAACAUGAUAGAUAUGAUCACCAGCUUUUGCAGGGAGAGCUCUCCAGCUGCCAUGGCCAUGCCUCUCAAUGUAAGCCAAGAGCUUCUGGUCUUCUUCAGGUGUCCAUGGCCCUUUCUUCAACCCUACUUUCUGACAGCAGGGAGACCUCACCAUUGUUAAUUCUCCUAUCUUGCAGGACAAGAAAACAAAAGAGCUGUGUUUGCAGUAUAUACAUUAUAUACAGAGGAUUUUUGAAGGGCUUAAAUGCCCCCCUGCAAGUAAUGUUGGCAGUUGAGGCAAAUAAAAGAAACUGUUAUAAAAACCUGUUACAGACACAACAGAAACACUUCUAGUUUCCUCCUUGGCUUUUGCCACUUGAAAAGCUGGUUUUUCUAGUUGUGUACAAGUAAUUAAAAUCCCCCCCUUCUUUAUGAUAGCUUCCAUGAUUGUGUUCAGCUGAUUUGAAAGGAUUUUGCCCUCUUUCAUCAUACUUGCAUUCAUAUUUGUCACCUGCAGGCUGGCUUUCAAUUCAGGUGGAGUUGUUCAUGCAGUACAAAAAGUAGAUUCAGGGGAAUGAGCUGCCACGAUAAAGCCGGCUCGCAUUUAUGGCGAUCGUUGCUCUAUUUCGAUGGUGCUGUUUGAUCUUAAAGGGGAUCUUCUACAGUUUCGCCAUAUAAUCUUGCAUAUGGGGCUAAAGAGAGGGCUAAAGACAGGAUCUUUCGUGUAUAAUCUUGCAUAAUCUUGAAUGUUUUUAGUCCCGGCAGCGUAUAUAUUCCAGACAUUACACUUGGAUCAUGUUCAUGGAAUACGAUUCACUUUCAAGAUGCUCAGGUUGAGUGUUUAUGCAGUAAGAAGAGUAGAUUCAGGGGAAUGGGCUGCCACGAGAAAGCUGGCUCACAUUUAUGGCGAUCGUGGCUCGAUUCCGAUGGUGCUGUUCUUUUAUCUUAAAGGGGACCCUCUAUAGUUUCGUGGAUAGUCUUUGCAUAACCUCAUAGGGAUAAGAGACACAUAGGGCUAAAGACGAGAUCUUUUGUGUACAAUCUUGCAUAAUCUCGAAUGUUUUUAGUCCCGGUGGUGUAAUGGGAGACACGAGACUCGAAAUCUCGAGAUCUGGUGAAGGGUAGUGUUCAAGUUUAGCUCUGCAAUCACUGUUGGCUUUUAACUCUCAAUAAAUCCA